CCUACGGGGGGCAGCAGUGAGGAAUAUUGGUCAAUGGUCGCGAGCCUGAACCAGCCAAGUAGCGUGAAGGAUGACGGUCCUAUGGGUUGUAAACUUCUUUUAUCCGGGAAUAAAAUGCGCCACGCGUGGCGUUCUGAGAGUACCCGAUGAAUAAGCAUCGGCUAACUCCGUGCCAGCAGCCGCGGUAAUACGGAGGAUCCGAGCGUUAUCCGGAUUUAUUGGGUUUAAAGGGUGCGUAGGCGGAAGGUAAAGUCAGCGGUAAAAUUGGGGGGCUCAACCUCUUAGAGCCGUUGAAACUGGUUUGCUUGAGUGAGCGAAAAGUAUGCGGAAUGCGUGGUGUAGCGGUGAAAUGCAUAGAUAUCACGCAGAACCCCGAUUGCGAAGGCAGCCUGCCAAGCCAUGACUGACGCUGAUGCACGAAAGCGUGGGGAUCAAACAGGAUUAGAUACCCCGGUAGUC
Molecule: ribosomal RNA, 459 nt
Filed under: uncultured bacterium
Lineage: Bacteria
Description: partial 16S ribosomal RNA
Rfam family: Bacterial small subunit ribosomal RNA
Source: RNAcentral